RNAcentral lists this ribosomal RNA (1228 nucleotides) under Lactiplantibacillus plantarum. RNAcentral describes it as "bacterial SSU rRNA". It matches the Rfam family "Bacterial small subunit ribosomal RNA", at positions 65 to 1283 of the family's 1533-position model. Lineage: Bacteria; Bacillati; Bacillota; Bacilli; Lactobacillales; Lactobacillaceae. The record is from RNAcentral.
UGCUUGCAUCAUGAUUUACAUUUGAGUGAGUGGCGAACUGGUGAGUAACACGUGGGAAACCUGCCCAGAAGCGGGGGAUAACACCUGGAAACAGAUGCUAAUACCGCAUAACAACUUGGACCGCAUGGUCCGAGUUUGAAAGAUGGCUUCGGCUAUCACUUUUGGAUGGUCCCGCGGCGUAUUAGCUAGAUGGUGGGGUAACGGCUCACCAUGGCAAUGAUACGUAGCCGACCUGAGAGGGUAAUCGGCCACAUUGGGACUGAGACACGGCCCAAACUCCUACGGGAGGCAGCAGUAGGGAAUCUUCCACAAUGGACGAAAGUCUGAUGGAGCAACGCCGCGUGAGUGAAGAAGGGUUUCGGCUCGUAAAACUCUGUUGUUAAAGAAGAACAUAUCUGAGAGUAACUGUUCAGGUAUUGACGGUAUUUAACCAGAAAGCCACGGCUAACUACGUGCCAGCAGCCGCGGUAAUACGUAGGUGGCAAGCGUUGUCCGGAUUUAUUGGGCGUAAAGCGAGCGCAGGCGGUUUUUUAAGUCUGAUGUGAAAGCCUUCGGCUCAACCGAAGAAGUGCAUCGGAAACUGGGAAACUUGAGUGCAGAAGAGGACAGUGGAACUCCAUGUGUAGCGGUGAAAUGCGUAGAUAUAUGGAAGAACACCAGUGGCGAAGGCGGCUGUCUGGUCUGUAACUGACGCUGAGGCUCGAAAGUAUGGGUAGCAAACAGGAUUAGAUACCCUGGUAGUCCAUACCGUAAACGAUGAAUGCUAAGUGUUGGAGGGUUUCCGCCCUUCAGUGCUGCAGCUAACGCAUUAAGCAUUCCGCCUGGGGAGUACGGCCGCAAGGCUGAAACUCAAAGGAAUUGACGGGGGCCCGCACAGCGGUGGAGCAUGUGGUUUAAUUCGAAGCUACGCGAAGAACCUUACCAGGUCUUGACAUACUAUGCAAAUCUAAGAGAUUAGACGUUCCCUUCGGGGACAUGGAUACAGGUGGUGCAUGGUGUCGUCAGCUCGUGUCGUGAGAUGUUGGGUUAAGUCCCGCAACGAGCGCAACCCUUAUUAUCAGUUGCCAGCAUUAAGUUGGGCACUCUGGUGAGACUGCCGGUGACAAACCGGAGGAAGGUGGGGAUGACGUCAAAUCAUCAUGCCCCUUAUGACCUGGGCUACACACGUGCUACAAUGGAUGGUACAACGAGUUGCGAACUCGCGAGAGUAAGCUAAUCUCUUAAAGCC